RNAcentral lists this ribosomal RNA (497 nucleotides) under uncultured bacterium. Its description in RNAcentral is "partial 16S ribosomal RNA". It matches the Rfam family "Bacterial small subunit ribosomal RNA", at positions 28 to 507 of the family's 1533-position model. The record is from RNAcentral.
GAUGAACGCUGGCGGCGUGCCUAAUACAUGCAAGUCGAGCGAACAGACGAGGAGCUUGCUCCUCUGACGUUAGCGGCGGACGGGUGAGUAACACGUGGAUAACCUACCUAUAAGACUGGGAUAACUUCGGGAAACCGGAGCUAAUACCGGAUAAUAUAUUGAAUCGCAUGGUUCAAUAGUGAAAGACGGUUUUGCUGUCACUUAUAGAUGGAUCCGCGCCGCAUUAGCUAGUUGGUAAGGUAACAGCUUACCAAGGCAACGAUGCGUAGCCGACCUGAGAGGGUGAUCGGCCACACUGGAACUGAGACACGGUCCAGACUCCUACGGGAGGCAGCAGUAGGGAAUCUUCCGCAAUGGGCGAAAGCCUGACGGAGCAACGCCGCGUGAGUGAUGAAGGUCUUCGGAUCGUAAAACUCUGUUAUUAGGGAAGAACAAAUGUGUAAGUAACUAUGCACGUCUUGACGGUACCUAAUCAGAAAGCCACGGCUAACUACGUG